This 845-nucleotide long non-coding RNA is filed under the name Homo sapiens (human). RNAcentral's name for it is "HSALNT0081226". The record is from RNAcentral. Lineage: Eukaryota; Metazoa; Chordata; Mammalia; Primates; Hominidae.
AAUGAUGGAACUGGUCAUUUGAUCACAUUCAGCUUGAUCAUCUACAUCUGCUAGUGACCCAGUCCCUGAGAGUCACCAAGAAUUGAUUCCACUGAGGCGAUGGCAGGCGGGGCUUUGGUGUUGGAAAAGUCAGUGGUUGAUAUGGACAGCACAGACUCACAUAAGCUGCUGGUUUAUUACACUAGAAAAAUAAGGCUCUUUUAAUGCAAGAGAAAGAAAACCAGCUACAACCACCUAAAAUCAAAUGGGGAGUUUCAUGGUGCACAUCCACAAAGUGGACAUGUCAGGACAGGGGAACAUCUGGAUCACAAGAAUGCCGGUUCCCAAAGACAAUAAGGAUGGUUUCCAGCCUCUACUAUUUCUGCACUGCGAAGCCAUCAUCUCCAUUUCAGACUUUCCCACUAAGCAGGAAAUACAAUUGCCAACAGCAGCUAGCUUCGUACCUCAAAGCAACACCAGAAAGAAGAAGCAUUUCCAUCGAGGGAAGGAGUGAGUGUAAGGAGUAUUUCCCCCAAAAGAAAGAGAAGAACAAAGAAGCAUAAAGAUUGAUUACUGCUUUGCAAAGCCACAGAAACAAUGAGAUCAAGAAGUAAGAAAAUCAGGAAAUCUUCAUUACUCUUUACAAAGAAUUAAUAAGAUUACCAGUGGAGUCGUUCUAUGCUUUUAUGUAAGGGGUUAUGUUCCAAGGAAUUCAAAACAAAAAAGGAAAGGAAAAUACCCAACAAAUAAGAGUUGUGGCAACUUGAGAACUCACAUGACUCUGAGGUUUUAUUUCUAAGUAGUACUUUUGUGUGAAGAUAUUAUGAUAUUAAUAUCACUCAGUUACCAAAAAUAAAAACUUUAAG